This 452-nucleotide ribosomal RNA is filed under the name uncultured Lachnospiraceae bacterium. RNAcentral describes it as "bacterial SSU rRNA". It matches the Rfam family "Bacterial small subunit ribosomal RNA", at positions 936 to 1382 of the family's 1533-position model. Lineage: Bacteria; Bacillati; Bacillota; Clostridia; Lachnospirales; Lachnospiraceae. The record is from RNAcentral.
AGCAUGUGGUUUAAUUCGAAGCAACGCGAAGAACCUUACCAGGGCUUGACAUCCACAGUAGGCUGUAGACGUAUACCGCUGUGCCUUGCAAGAGGAGCUGUGAGACAGGUGGUGCAUGGUUGUCGUCAGCUCGUGUCGUGAGAUGUUGGGUUAAGUCCCGCAACGAGCGCAACCCUUAUCGCUAGUUGCUAACAGGGAAGCUGAGCACUCUAGGGAGACUGCCGGGGAUAACUCGGAGGAAGGUGGGGAUGACGUCAAAUCAUCAUGCCCUUUAUGUCCUGGGCUACACACGUACUACAAUGGCCGUUACAACGGGAAGCGAAGGAGCAAUCCGGAGCAAAUCCCUUAAAGGCGGUCCCAGUUCAGAUUGUGGGCUGAAACUCGCCCACAUGAAGGCGGAAUUGCUAGUAAUUGCAGAUCAGCAUGCUGCAGUGAAUACGUUCCCGGGCCUU